RNAcentral lists this ribosomal RNA (391 nucleotides) under uncultured bacterium. RNAcentral describes it as "bacterial SSU rRNA". It matches the Rfam family "Bacterial small subunit ribosomal RNA", at positions 29 to 417 of the family's 1533-position model. The record is from RNAcentral.
AUUGAACGCUGGCGGCAUGCCUUACACAUGCAAGUCGAACGGCAGCACGGGUGCUUGCACCUGGUGGCGAGUGGCGAACGGGUGAGUAAUACAUCGGAACGUACCUUAUCGUGGGGGAUAACGCAGCGAAAGCUGUGCUAAUACCGCAUACGCCCUGAGGGGGGAAAGCGGGGGGAUCGAAAGACCUCGCGCGAUUAGAGCGGCCGAUGCCUGAUUAGCUUGUUGGUGGGGUAAAAGCCACCAAGGCGACGAUCAGUAGCUGGUCUGAGAGGACGAUCAGCCACACUGGGACUGAGACACGGCCCAGACUCCUACGGGAGGCAGCAGUGGGGAAUUUUGGGACAAUGGGGGAAACCCUGAUCCAGCAAUGCCGCGUGAGUGAAGAAGGCCU